ACGAACGCUGGCGGCGUGCCUAAUACAUGCAAGUAGCACGCUGAAGGCGGAGCUUGCUUCUCUGGAUGAGUUGCGAACGGGUGAGUAACGCGUAGGUAACCUGCCUGUAGCGGGGGAUAACUAUUGGAAACGAUAGCUAAUACCGCAUAAGAGUAGAUGUUGCAUGACAUUUGCUUAAAAGGUGCAAUUGCAUCACUACCAGAUGGACCUGCGUUGUAUUAGCUAGUUGGUGGGGUAACGGCUUACCAAGGCGACGAUACAUAGCCGACCUGAGAGGGUGAUCGGCCACACUGGGACUGAGACACGGCCCAGACUCCUACGGGAGGCAGCAGUAGGGAAUCUUCGGCAAUGGACGGAAGUCUGACCGAGCAACGCCGCGUGAGUGAAGAAGGUUUUCGGAUCGUAAAGCUCUGUUGUAAGAGAAGAACGAGUGUGAGAGUGGAAAGUUCACACUGUGACGGUAUCUUACCAGAAAGGGACGGCUAACUACGUG
RNAcentral lists this ribosomal RNA (493 nucleotides) under uncultured bacterium. RNAcentral describes it as "partial 16S ribosomal RNA". It matches the Rfam family "Bacterial small subunit ribosomal RNA", at positions 29 to 507 of the family's 1533-position model. The record is from RNAcentral.